AUGGAUGGAUGGAUGGAUGGAUCCAUGGAUGGAUGGAUCUUCCCCACCCUGAUCCUGAUUCCCUGGGAUCUGCUCUGCUGCUCCAUCCCCUCUCCAGAGGGGACAUCCCGGUCACCUCCUGUCCUGAUUCCUGUGGUGGCCCCCAGGGCCAGCAGGGAUGCUCCCAUUCCCAUCACAGGGACAAUGAUCUCCUUCUGGGAUCUGCACAACUUCUCUGGGACAGGGAACACUUCCAGCUCUCCAGAAGAAAGAACCCUUUCUUCAUCAAGGGUUUAAGUUAGGAGCCAACUUCUCAUUCAGAAAUAAAAAGGGAAGGGCCAGACCCAAAACUCCAGCACCACACCCCAAAUUCCAGCACCACACCCCAGAUUCCAGAGUCAGAUCCAAAAUUCCAGCACCAAACCUCAAAUUCCAGCAGUCUCAGGAGCCGAGCUCAGCCCCAAAUAUGUAAAUUUGUCCUGUUCCUACAACAUUCCAAGCCAACUCCACAUCCAUGUCCUGGAGAUGAAUCCAGGCUCCAUCUCAGUUCCAGGGACCUCCCUGGCACCCAGCCCUGGGACAGCUGACAGGAACACCAGGAAUUCGGGAUACGAGGACAUCGCUCUGCUUCCCUGAUCCGGGGGCUGCUCCCAUUCUCCCUGAGGUGACACCGCAACUGGAGGCACAAAACCAGCGGGAAAAAGCUGGAAUUUCCAUCCAAACCCCGAAAUCCUGCUUGGAGAAACCCAACCCAACAGGACGCGCUGUCCCUGCUGCCAGCAUUGCCUUCCUGGAGGUGACAGAUCCCAAAUCCAGGUGUCACCAACAAUCCAGGAGGGAGAAGGGCAGAGCUGGGCAGUGUCACCCGGGGCCACCACAGCGCUCGCUCUGGCCGUGCCACCACCUUCUCCUGGCACAUCCCAAUGCCACCACCCACCCUGGCACAUCCCAAACCCUCUCCUCAUCUCCAGCAGAGCCGUGAGUGCCACCGGCGACGUCACCUCCUCGGCCCAGGCUUUCCUGCAGCAACCAAGAUUUCAGUUAAGCAAUAAAAAAAACCUUAUCAAGGAAAAAAAAAAAAAAAA
This is a non-coding RNA of Zonotrichia albicollis (white-throated sparrow), 1064 nucleotides long. NCBI's taxonomy places the organism in Eukaryota, Metazoa, Chordata, Aves, Passeriformes, Passerellidae. The record is from RefSeq and is a predicted model, not a curated record.